GACAGAGGGUGCAAACGUUGCUCGGAAUUACUGGGCGUAAAGCGCGUGUAGGCGGACCGAUGUGUCAGGUGUGAAAUCCCCGGGCUCAACCCGGGAACUGCACUUGAAACUGUCGGCCUUGAGUACCGGAGAGGGUGGCGGAAUUCCUGGUGUAGAGGUGAAAUUCGUAGAUAUCAGGAGGAACACCGGUGGCGAAGGCGGCCACCUGGACGGUUACUGACGCUGAGACGCGAAAGCGUGGGGAGCAAACAGGAUUAGAUACCCUGGUAGUCCACGCCGUAAACGAUGAGUGCUAGGUGUCGCGGGUAUUGACCCCCGCGGUGCCGAAGCUAACGCAUUAAGCACUCCGCCUGGGAAGUACGGUCGCAAGACUA
RNAcentral lists this ribosomal RNA (374 nucleotides) under uncultured prokaryote. Its description in RNAcentral is "bacterial SSU rRNA". It matches the Rfam family "Bacterial small subunit ribosomal RNA", at positions 524 to 896 of the family's 1533-position model. The record is from RNAcentral.